CGAGGACGAACGCUGGCGGCGUGCUUAACACAUGCAAGUCGAACGAGUGUAUGAAGGAGCUUGCUCUUGAUUACACGAGUGGCGGACGGGUGAGUAACGCGUGAAUAAUCUGUCCUAUACAGGGGGAUAACGCAUCGAAAGAUGUGCUAAUACCGCGUAGGACCACAGCAUCGCAUGGUGCAGGGGUGAAAGGAGCAAUCCGGUAUAGGGUGAGUUCGCGUCUGAUUAGAUAGUUGGUGAGGUAACGGCUCACCAAGUCAACGAUCAGUAGCCGACCUGAGAGGGUGAUCGGCCACAUUGGGACUGAGACACGGCCCAGACUCCUACGGGAGGCAGCAGUGGGGGAUAUUGCACAAUGGGGGAAACCCUGAUGCAAGCGACGCCGCGUGAAGGAGGAAGUGCUUCGGCAUGUAAACUUCUAUCAGCAGGGAAGAAGAUGACGGUACCUGACUAAGAAGCCCCGGCUAACUACGUGCCAGCCGCGGC
This 486-nucleotide ribosomal RNA is filed under the name uncultured bacterium. Its description in RNAcentral is "bacterial SSU rRNA". It matches the Rfam family "Bacterial small subunit ribosomal RNA", at positions 26 to 518 of the family's 1533-position model. The record is from RNAcentral.